This 202-nucleotide long non-coding RNA is filed under the name Elaeis guineensis (African oil palm). RNAcentral's name for it is "long non-coding RNA (EGUI_LNC058182)". Lineage: Eukaryota; Viridiplantae; Streptophyta; Magnoliopsida; Arecales; Arecaceae. The record is from RNAcentral.
CGGGUCUGCCACAUUUAGUGUAGAGUCAACUCUCUGCACCUCAACGAACUUCUUCUCGAGGUAUUCGCAUAUGAUGUGAAAUUAUCGCUCUAUAUGUUUGGACUUCUGGUAAGACCUGUGCUCCUUAGCGAGGGCUAUGGCACCAUUAUUGUCGGAGUGUAGUACAAUGACAUCUGAUGGCAUCACACCCAGCUCUACAACA